UGGGGAAUAUUGCGCAAUGGAGAAGAACUCUGACGCAGCAAUACCGCGUGAGCGAAGAAGGUCUUCGGAUCGUAAAGCUCUGUUAUCAGGGAAGAAGAAAAUGACGGUACCUGAUGAGCAAGUCCCGGCUAACUACGUGCCAGCAGCCGCGGUAAUACGUAGGGGACAAGCGUUGUCCGGAAUCACUGGGCGUAAAGGGCGCGCAGGCGGUGAUUUAAGCAGGAUGUGAAAGGCUACGGCUCAACCGUAGACAUGCACCCUGAACUGGGUCACUUGAGUAUUGGAGAGGCAGGCAGAAUUCCUGGUGUAGCGGUGAAAUGCGUAGAUAUCAGGAGGAAUACCGGAGGCGAAGGCGGCCUGCUGGACAAAUACUGACGCUGAGGCGCGAAAGCGUGGGGAGCAAACA
Molecule: ribosomal RNA, 406 nt
Filed under: uncultured bacterium
Lineage: Bacteria
Also listed under: 1 other name
Description: bacterial SSU rRNA
Rfam family: Bacterial small subunit ribosomal RNA
Source: RNAcentral